GACGAACGCUGGCGGCGUGCUUAAUACAUGCAAGUCGAGCGAACAGACCAGGAUCUUGUGCGUCGCUCGUUUGCGGCGGGCGUGUGUGUCACACGUGUAUACUCUACCUAUAAUUCGGGUAAAAUUACGGGAAACGGGAUCUUACCGCAUAGAAUCUCUUGAUCCGUGUGGGGCAUUAGUGAGAUACGGCUUUUCGGGCUCGUAUAGAGGCAUCUCCGCCGCUUUAGGUAGUUGGUAAGGUCACGGGUUAUCAAGGGAACGAUGCGUAGCCGAGUUGAGAGGGUGAUCGGCGACACUGGAACUGAGACAGGGUCCAGACUCCUACGGGAGGCAGCAGUAGGGAAUCUUCCGCAAUGGGCGGAAACCUGACGGAGCAACGCCGAGUGAGUUAUGAAGGUCUUCGGAUCGUAAAACUCUGUUAUUAGGGAAGAACAAAUGUGUAAGUAAAUAUGCACGUCUUGACGGUACCGAAUAAGAAAGCAACGGCUAACUACGUG
This 497-nucleotide ribosomal RNA is filed under the name uncultured bacterium. RNAcentral describes it as "partial 16S ribosomal RNA". It matches the Rfam family "Bacterial small subunit ribosomal RNA", at positions 28 to 507 of the family's 1533-position model. The record is from RNAcentral.